UACUGCCAGACUGGAACCGGGAGAGGUAAGAGGUACUACAGGGGUAGGAGUGAAAUCUUGUAAUCCCUGUGGGACCACCUGUGGCGAAGGCGUCUUACCAGAACGGGUUCGACGGUGAGGGACGAAAGCUGGGGGCACGAACCGGAUUAGAUACCCGGGUAGUCCCAGCCGUAAACGAUGCUCGCUAGGUGUCAGGCAUGGCGCGACCGUGUCUGGUGCCGCAGGGAAGCCGUGAAGCGAGCCACCUGGGGAGUACGGCCGCAAGGCUGAAACUUAAAGGAAUUGGCGGGGGAGCACAACAACGGGUGGAAGCCUGCGGUUUAAUUGGACUCAACGCCGGACAACUCACCGGGGGCGACAGCAAUAUGUAGGCCAAGCUGAAGACUUUGCCUGAAUCGCUGAGGAGAGGUGCAUGG
RNAcentral lists this ribosomal RNA (416 nucleotides) under uncultured archaeon. Its description in RNAcentral is "bacterial SSU rRNA". It matches the Rfam family "Archaeal small subunit ribosomal RNA", at positions 582 to 997 of the family's 1478-position model. The record is from RNAcentral.